AGACCCUUGCUUCCUGCACUAUCUUCAAAAGUUUAGGUCGGAGGAGGAUUUACGGAAUGGCCAUCUUCCAUAAUUAACAAAUAAAUAAAUGAAAUUUAAUGUCAGGGUCAAAUGAAACUGGAAACAAAGCUUAUCUGGUGAUAUAUCAAAUUAUGAGAGUCAUUAUUUGGAUGUAAGGAUAUAUGACAGAUAGACUCUUAGGAGAAAUGCUAUGACCUCCUGCUUCUUGGUAUUCCUUGUGUGAUUUCCUCCUCUUGAGUGUGAAGGCAUGUAUGUCAUUGAGUUAUAUAAGAUAGUGCCCAUCUUGCUAGUGUCUCUCUCUCUCUUGUGGCUCUGAAAAAUCAAGCUGCCUGCCAUGUUUGAGCUUUGAUAUGGAAAGACCCACAUGUUAAGGAACUGAGGGCAGACUCUGCCAACAGCUAGCUUUGAAACUGAAUCUCCCGGCCAGGCACAGUGGCUCAUGCCUUUAAUCCCAGCACUUUGGGAGGCCAAGGUGGGUGGAUCACAAGGUCAGGAGUUCAAGACCAGCCUGGCCAAGAUGGUGAAACCCCAUCUCUACUAAAAAUACAAAAAUUAGCUGGGUGUGGUGGCAGGCACCUGUAAUCCCAGCUACCCAGGAGGCUGAGGGAGAGAAUUUCUUGAACCCAGGAGGCAGAGGUUGCAGUGAGCUGAGAUCACGCCACUGCACUCCAGCCUGGGUGGCAGAGCGAGACUCCAUCUCAAAAAAAAAAAAAAAAGAGAGAAAGAAACCAAAUCUCUCAGUCCUACAACCUCAAGGAACUGAAUUUUGCCAACAAAAGCAGAUCCUUCCCCAGUCAAGCCUCAGAUGAGACAGCAUCCUCAGCUAACAACUUGUUUGCAGCCUCAUGAGAACUGAAGCAGAGAACCCAGCUAAACUGUGCCUAGACUCCUGACCACAGAAACUGAGAUAAUAAAUGUGUGUUGUUUUAAGCUGCCAAGUAUGUGAUAAUUUGUUAUGUAGUGGAGAACUAAUACAACAGGGAAAAGUUAAAAGCUAUUCACAUAAAUAUUUAUAAUGGAUACUAUUUCUACACAUUUAAAUCAAGCUUCUCUUACGUUCAUAAGAAGAUACGAAUCUGGAGAAGGAAAUUAUAUCAAGCAGAACGCUGCUCUGGUGUUGUGAAGACGGGAUCCCACCAUUCUAAUGUAUUCAAUUUAUUUAUUCAAUAAGUUUUGAGCAUCAACUAUGUUCCAGGCACUGAGAUAUUAAUCUAAGGAAGACACACGUGUUGUCCUCAUUGAGGAGCUCAAAAGUCUAAUACAUAAACCAACAAUCAUACAAAAAUCAUAGCCAUGUUACAGUGCUAUGAGGAAGAUGUUAAGAGAAUAUUCUGGAAGUACUCAUACAUAAAUACUUCAGAAACUGGGCAUUAUAAGAAGUCAGUUGCCUCUCUCUACUUUCAGUUCUACAUUUUUAUACCUUGUAGUGGAUUUAAAAUGGCCACAAAUUCUUCAAUACUCUUCUAUGGAGAGAUUUGAGGGCUAUUUCCCUUCAUCUUGAAUUUAGGCAGGCUUGUUCAGGGUCUGGCUUUUAAGAGGAGCUUUCACCUUGGUCUGUGGAAGUCCUGAGUCACUGUGUACAAAGUCCAUCUACCUUAUUACACCAUCUGGAGAGAGCUGAGACUACAGGGAGAGGGGGAGUGGCCCGGCUGAUCCCAGUCUUCCUAGUGACCCUGCCCAGGAACUUGGCAUGUGAGUAAAGCCAUCUUGGAACCUCCAUACCAGACCAGCCACGAGAUGAAUAAUACUAACUGAUCCCAGUCAAUGCCACAUAGAGCAGAAGAACUGCCUAACUGAAUUCUUUCCAAACUGCUGACUCAAAAAUUUGUAUGGUAUAAUAAAAUGUUUGUUUUAAGUCACUGUUUUGUUAGGAGUAAUAAGCAACCAGAAUAAAAUUCUAAUCUUUAUCAUGUACCGUGCUGAAAAUCUGACCAUCUCACUCUCCUUAAAACUCCGUCAAUCCCUUCCCAUUACCCAAAUCCCUCUUGUAUGUCAUAGAAGUCCCUCAUUACGUGACCUCUACCUACUUCUCUGGUCUUGUCUCCUAACAUGGCCUCCAACUCCAGGCUCUCAUAUUACCUAUUUGCUAAUGGUUCCUGGGCCAGCAUCCAACAUACUGUUCCCUCCUUCCAUGCCAAGAAGAGACAGCUUAUUCUGUUUCCUUGGCCGGUCAUUGCCUUCUUCAUUUGCUUUGCCUAACUUGCUCACCGUGUAAAAAUAUUCAUCUAAGUAGUUACUUCCUCUCAGAAGUCUGCUCUAGGCCAUGAGAAACUCACAGCCAAAAAUGCAAAUGAUUCCAGAUGAUCAUUCACUGUAGAAAAGGAAUUGAUGGGCCGG
Molecule: long non-coding RNA, 2358 nt
Filed under: Homo sapiens (human)
Lineage: Eukaryota; Metazoa; Chordata; Mammalia; Primates; Hominidae
Description: non-protein coding lnc-IL31RA-1:2
Source: RNAcentral